UACAGAGGGGGCAAGCGUUGUUCGGAAUUACUGGGCGUAAAGGGCGCGUAGGCGGCCUGCUAAGUCAGACGUGAAAUCCCUCAGCUUAACUGGGGAACUGCGUCUGAUACUGGUGAGCUUGAGUGCAGGAGAGGAACGCGGAAUUCCAGGUGUAGCGGUGAAAUGCGUAGAUAUCUGGAGGAACACCGGUGGCGAAGGCGGCGUUCUGGACUGCAACUGACACUGAUAAACGAAAGCCAGGGUAGCAAACGGG
Molecule: ribosomal RNA, 253 nt
Filed under: uncultured bacterium
Lineage: Bacteria
Description: partial 16S ribosomal RNA
Rfam family: Bacterial small subunit ribosomal RNA
Source: RNAcentral